Molecule: ribosomal RNA, 153 nt
Filed under: uncultured Sphingomonas sp.
Lineage: Bacteria; Pseudomonadati; Pseudomonadota; Alphaproteobacteria; Sphingomonadales; Sphingomonadaceae
Description: partial 16S ribosomal RNA
Rfam family: Bacterial small subunit ribosomal RNA
Source: RNAcentral
GGGGGCUGGGCGAGCCUGAUCCAGCAUGCCGCGUGAGUGAUGAAGGCCUUAGGGUUGUAAAGCUCUUUUACCCGGGAUGAUAAUGACAGUACCGGGAGAAUAAGCUCCGGCUAACUCCGUGCCAGCAGCCGCGGUAAUACGGAGGGAGCUAGC